UACGAGAGGCGCAAACGUUAUUCGGAAUUACUGGGCUUAAAGAGUUCGUAGGCGGCGCAGAAAGUAGGGUGUGAAAGCCCUCGGCUCAACCGAGGAAUUGCGCUCUAAACUACUGUGCUUGAGGAAGCUAGAGGUGAGCAGAACAGAUGGUGGAGCGGUGAAAUGCGUUGAUAUCAUCUGGAAUACCGGAGGCGAAGGCGGCUCACUGGGGCUUUUCUGACGCUGAGGAACGAAAGCCAGGGUAGCGAACGGG
This 253-nucleotide ribosomal RNA is filed under the name uncultured bacterium. Its description in RNAcentral is "partial 16S ribosomal RNA". It matches the Rfam family "Bacterial small subunit ribosomal RNA", at positions 524 to 776 of the family's 1533-position model. The record is from RNAcentral.